This 1672-nucleotide ribosomal RNA is filed under the name Sladenia gardineri. RNAcentral's name for it is "16S rRNA". The stretch from base 100 to 1594 matches the Rfam family "Bacterial large subunit ribosomal RNA". The record is from RNAcentral. Lineage: Eukaryota; Metazoa; Chordata; Actinopteri; Lophiiformes; Lophiidae.
CACCCAACACCUAGCCUCACAAAUUCAAAAACAACAAUUCACCUAUUUAUAACCCCUAAGCCCCUAACCAUCACAUAAAUAAACCAUUUUACCACCCUAGUAUGAGCGACAGAAGAGAACCAGAUGAGCAAUAGAAAAAGUACCGCAAGGGAAAGGUGAAAGAGAAAUGAAAAACCCAACAAGUAAUAAAAAGCAGAGAUUAAACUCGUACCUUUUGCAUCAUGUUUUAGCCAGCCACCUCAAGCAUAGAGCCCUUUAGUUUGACUCCCCGAAACUAAGCGAGCUACUCCAAGACAGCCUAUCUAAGGGCCAACCCGUCUCUGUGGCAAAAGAGUGGGAAGAGCUUUGAGUAGAGGUGAUAAACCUACCGAGCCUAGUUAUAGCUGGCUGCCUGGGAAAUGAAUAGGAGUUCAGCCUUCUGAUUUCUUUCCUCCUCGCAUCACCGAUAAAGACCUAGAGAAGUCAGAAGAGUUAAUUAUAGGGGGAACAGCCCCUAUAAUAAAAGAUACAACUUUAAUAGAAGGAUUUUGAUUAUUCAAGCUUAAAGGACAGUAUUUUAGUGGGCCUAAGAGCAGCCAUCGAAACAGAGAGCGUCAAAGCUCCGACAUAAUCCAACCUAAAAAUUCUGCCUACCCAAUCUUAAACCUCUAACCCUACCAGGAACUCCUACGUUUUACGUAGGAAAUAUACUGCUAAUAUGAGUAAUCAGAGAGCACAGCCUCUCUCCAAGCAUAAGUGUACAUCGGAACGAACCCCCACCGAAAACUAACGGCCCCAAAAGAAGAGGGAACUGAUCAAGAAAGAAGACGACAGGAAAAACACUCAACAAAAACCGUUAACCUUACACUAGCAUGCCUCCAAAGAAAGACUAAAAGAAAGAGAAGGAACUCGGCAAACACAAGCCUCGCCUGUUUACCAAAAACAUCGCCUCUUGCAAACUACAAAUAAGAGGUCUCGCCUGCCCUGUGACAAUAAGUUCAACGGCCGCGGUAUUUUGACCGUGCGAAGGUAGCGUAAUCACUUGUCUUCUAAAUGAAGACCUGUAUGAAUGGCACGACGAGGGCUUAACUGUCUCCUCUUUCCAGUCAAUGAAAUUGAUCUCCCCGUGCAGAAGCGGGGAUAUACACAUAAGACGAGAAGACCCUGUGGAGCUUUAGACACUGGGGCAGACCACGUCAAGCGCCCGGCACAACGGGUAAAACCGAGUGGAACCCUUCCUGAUGUCUUUGGUUGGGGCGACCGAGGGGCGAAAAACCUCCCCCAUGCGGAAUGGGAACACCUUUCCUACAACUAAGAGUCCCCACUCUAAUUAUCAGAACUUCUGGCCAUUAUGAUCCGGCAAAGCCGAUCAACGGACCGAGUUACCCCAGGGAUAACAGCGCAAUCCCCUUCUAGAGUCCUUAUCGACAAGGGAGUUUACGACCUCGAUGUUGGAUCAGGGCAUCCUAAUGGUGCAACCGCUAUUAAGGGUUCGUUUGUUCAACGAUUAAAGCCCUACGUGAUCUGAGUUCAGACCGGAGUAAUCCAGGUCGGUUUCUAUCUAUGAUGUGAUCUUUUCCAGUACGCAAGGACCGAAAAGAGGGGGCCCAUGUAAAAAUACGCCCAACCUCCACCUAAUGAAGUCAACUAAAUUAGACAAGAAGGCACACCCUACCACCAAAGAUAAUGGUGU